This 421-nucleotide long non-coding RNA is filed under the name Elaeis guineensis (African oil palm). RNAcentral's name for it is "long non-coding RNA (EGUI_LNC034249)". The record is from RNAcentral. Lineage: Eukaryota; Viridiplantae; Streptophyta; Magnoliopsida; Arecales; Arecaceae.
ACCUUUUGUAUAGCUUGCCUUCGUAGAGGAUAUAUCGAGAGGCCUGGUUCUUAAGCUUCCGAGCUUCUUUUGUAUCAGGAGGAAGAACCCCAUCCUUGAGGUAUGUAACUAGUGGGUCGACCCAACUGGGUUCGUAGCUGACCUCCAUCACAGACGGUGAUUCUUCCAUGCUUGGGUGCUUCAGAACCUCGAAGAAGACUUCCUUAGGCAGUUCAGCCAGAGCCAGUGUAGCCAACUUGGAGAGAAGGUUGGCUCUGGCAUUUUUCGAUCUCGGGAUCUGCCUGAUGUCGAAGCUGCCGAAGGUAGGGAUGAUCUCCCUUAUCCUUUCAAGAUAUCUAGCCAUACUGUCCUCUCGAGCUUCAUAAUUUCUACUGACCUAUCCCACUACUAAUUGAGAAUCACUGUAGGCUUGAAGCCGAUC